GGGAAGCCCUUUAACAAUAAAGAACUUCAUAACACACUCCACAGAACCUGGGGUCAUGGUGAUGAGAGACACAAAUCUUGUAGCCUCUCUAUGAACAAAUUCCCUACAUAA
Molecule: small nucleolar RNA, 111 nt
Organism: Otolemur garnettii (small-eared galago)
Lineage: Eukaryota; Metazoa; Chordata; Mammalia; Primates; Galagidae
Source: Ensembl